AUUGAACGCUGGCGGCAUGCUUUACACAUGCAAGUCGAACGGCAGCGCGGGCUUCGGCCUGGCGGCGAGUGGCGAACGGGGGAGUAAUGCAUCGGAAUGUGCCCAGUAGUGGGGGAUAGUCCGGCGAAAGCCGGAUUAAUACCGCAUACGACCUGAGGGUGAAAGCGGGGGACCGAAAGGCCUCGCGCUAUUGGAGCGGCCGAUGUCGGAUUAGCUAGUUGGUGGGGUAAAGGCUUACCAAGGCGACGAUCCGUAGCUGGUCUGAGAGGACGACCAGCCACACUGGGACUGAGACGCGGCCCAGACUCCUGCGGGAGGGAGCAGUGGGGAAUUGUGGACAAAGGGGGCAACCCUGAUCCAGCCAUGCCGCGUGCGGGAAGAAGGCCUUCGGGUUGUGAACCGCUUUUGUUCGGGAAGAAAUCCUCUGGGCUAAUACCACGGGGGGAUGACGGUACCGGAUGAAUAAGCACCGGCUAACUACGUG
RNAcentral lists this ribosomal RNA (484 nucleotides) under uncultured bacterium. RNAcentral describes it as "partial 16S ribosomal RNA". It matches the Rfam family "Bacterial small subunit ribosomal RNA", at positions 28 to 507 of the family's 1533-position model. The record is from RNAcentral.